AUUCAGCUGACGAGUCUCAAAUAAGAUGAAACGCGCGUCCUAGAU
This 45-nucleotide non-coding RNA is filed under the name Schistosoma haematobium. The record is from RNAcentral. Lineage: Eukaryota; Metazoa; Platyhelminthes; Trematoda; Strigeidida; Schistosomatidae.